GUCCCGGUUGGACACGGUGGGUUUUUUGGGGGGAUUUUUCGCCCAAAAAAAAUUUUUUUUUUUUAAAUUUUUCCUGUCUCUCUCUCUCUCGUGUGUGCCUUAUCUGACGCUUGCGAUUUGGAUUUUUUCGGUCCCUUUUCAUCCCUUGACACAAUCAAGUGAGCCAAUACCGUUUUCUCUCAAUGAAGAAGACAGAUCAGUAUUUAUCGGACCUGCACGCAGAGAAGAACAGAAGAAGAUUCUGUAAUAAUCUCGGGAACCAAAAGGAACAAAGUAAUCUCGUGGCAGGCGGGGGUUUAACAUUACCGAAGUAAACGUGGUACGAGCGGUAGCGGAUCUCGUCUCCCAUAACAAAGUGAUUGGACAUUCCACCGCAGGAAUUUGUUCCAGUUAGUUGUCUACCGAUAAAGAGAGAGAAAAAAUUGGUAAGUGAUCGAUUCUAUCGGUUUUCUCAUUAUUAUCGUCCAAACAAAUCUUGUUGGAAAUAAAAUGUUUCAAAAAAAAUUCAGCCGAAGCUUUCACUCGGCCCGAAAAAUCGCACCCGUUAAUGGCUAAAACAUACAGAGAAUGUGAGGAAUGUAGGCUCAUUAAGCAGGUUCCCAGGCGGUUGUCAUAACAUCAAAUACGACCUAAUUUGGCUCAGUUCAAGCCAGUUCGAUAAUGAUCGGACGAUUAGGACGGCCGGCACGUCCGCCAGACCUGUCACCCCUAGAUAAAAAAUGGCGAACCCCUUCCUUGACAAGGAUGUUAAAUAUCAACGGGAAAAUAAGUAGGUUUAAAGAAAAACCAAUUAGACCAUUGACGGAUGGCUCUGCGGAUGUAUUAAGGAGAAAAUUGGAAAUUCAAGGGUCGUUCGGGAGCAUAAUUAGUUCGGUUCUUUUUUUCCUAUUAAAACGCCAUUCAAAUACCCCAAUUGCAUACGAAAACCGUAAUGCCGGGGGUCACACGAUAAUGUUAUGCAUAAUCGCGUUCCAAGAACCGCCGUUUGAUAUGGAUCUAACUACUUGUCGGCAUUUUACUGUAUAUCUGUUCGUAGAAUUUUGUAAUUUCAGUUUUAUGCAAAGUACGGCUCACCGUCUGCAUAUUGUUUUUCGGAAAACGGAUUUUUAUGUGACUCCCACUGUGGAAUAUUAAUUUAAAAAAAAAAGGGUGUGGUAGCUUCGCUUUACAUUGGCCUCAUCAAAAAACUCUUUUAAACCGAUUUAAUGGGUGCUUCAAGUGCUGCAAUCCCUUGCUCGCCAUUUUGUUUAAUCAACAAAAUGGCCGACAACUGCGCAGGUUCCCCUUCCAUGGUCAACUUUGGAUUCAGUAUGUCAAUGCGCAGCUCCAUUUUUUACUUUUUCUGCUCGCCCUACACCCCUAAUGCUUAGGUCAAUUUUUUUUAGAAUUUUAAUUAGACCGCCUGCACAAACCAGCUCAUAUCUCAAAAACUAACAAUGUUUUUUUUGAAAUGUUUUAUUGAGGACACUUGAGUGCACACCAUUGUCUAGGUUUCAAGACUCUAGUUCCGUUAGUUUGAUUUAAAGAAGGCUUCAAAGUUAUCCCCAGUCAUUAAUUUAAUUUUUUAAAUUAAAAUUUUAUUUAAACCGCCGGCACAAAUCUGCUCAUAUCUCAAAAACUAACAACGUUUUUUUAAAAAUUCUUGAAGUGUCUUAUUGAGGACACUUGAGCGUACGCCACUGUUCAAAUUUUAAGUCUCUAAUUAAGCUAGUUUUAUUGGCAAAAGGUUUUAAAGUUUUCCCUAAUCAAUAAUUAAUUUUUUUUAUAUGACAACUUUAUUUAAACCGCCUACACAAACCUGCUCAUAUCUCAAAAGCUAACAAUGUUUUUUUGAAAAUUCUUGAAGUGUCUUAUUGAGAACACUUGAGCGCACGCCACUGCGCAGGUCUGAACACUCUAGCUUCGCUAGUUUUAUCGACAAAAGACUUCAAAGUAAUCCCUAGUUAUUACUUUUGACCUGUAAAUCUAUUUGAGACACAGAAAUCAUGGACUUUUAUAUUGACUUGA
This 2007-nucleotide long non-coding RNA is filed under the name Anthonomus grandis grandis. Its description in RNAcentral is "uncharacterized LOC126747426". The record is from RNAcentral. Lineage: Eukaryota; Metazoa; Arthropoda; Insecta; Coleoptera; Curculionidae.